AGUGCAGGACGUCAUGUGACAGAAGAAACUGAUAGAUUCUUUACCAUUAAAAAGGAAAAUAUAGUUCUGUCCCUAAAACUUCUCUCUGCUUCACUGUAGACCUACAGAUGCCACAGGUUAAUAGCAAGUCCAAGGUCAAGAACAACACACAUGAAUUCCACAAAGCAACACAAGCAGAAAAUAUGAACGUGAAAGAAAUAUCAAUGCAUUUUGCUUCUGAGUGAAGCACUGUAAAGACAAAGACAAAGCCUCAGAAAGGAAAUGGGAGCAGCCUAUUGGCACAGCUGAAUAGAUUAUCAGAGAUUAAAGGCUGUGUGAAAUAAUUCUUUAAAAGGAACUCAGUCUGCAUUCAAGCACAAUUUAUGAAUGAACGGCUGAGGAUGGCCUGAGGGAAGUGAGCUGCAAUCAACACAGCCAAUUGAUAACAUCAUCACCGUAGUGGAAUGCUAAUAAUCCACCACAAGCAUAA
Mauremys reevesii (Reeves's turtle) is the source of this 469-nucleotide long non-coding RNA. RefSeq lists it as uncharacterized. The record is from RefSeq and is a predicted model, not a curated record. NCBI's taxonomy places the organism in Eukaryota, Metazoa, Chordata, Testudines, Geoemydidae. The transcript has 3 exons.